AAUUGACAACCCGAAUCGCCACAUUACCAAUUCCAUCCGUAACAAAAGAAAAGCGAAAGCUACUUCAAAGCUAUUAUACAAAAGAUGUAUUAAAAUUUUCGGUUAAUUUCGGUACCCCAAUGUUCAAAAAUCGUCGAACCGAUCCAAGAAUGGAGUGCGAAAUAUGUGAUAUCACCAGCAAUGCCGGUGGCCAUAAGCUUAAUCCUCCGGACCUAAAACCCGAAACCACCCUGCAGAUGGAGAUUGACGAGGCACUGUCCUCCAGCAGUGCGGAUGACACGCCGCCGGGCAUGAUGGUGGUAGAGACUCGCAUCAGUUCCUGGCCAAAAGUGCAGUGCUUUGAGUACAAGGAUGGUACAACCACGGAUGCGGAGGAUCCUCAGCUGCCGGCCUGCUCGCUAGGCCUUAAGCCAAAUGUGCAAUUCCAGAAGCUUUCACACCCAAAUCAUCCACUGGUCAGCACCGAAGGCGCCCUGGCCGCCGCCUCCUGCUCCGCCUAUUCCACAGCUCCAGCCAAGCCCACGGUCACGGACUCCAUUGCCACGUUGCGCCACUGCGUCGAUGGUACCACCCAGUGCAAUAACCUGAAUUACGAGUCCGCAUCCAAUGAAUCGAUGCCCUCGUUGGGAUCGCUCGUGUGCCGCAUUUGUCACAAUGCCGAUAAUCCCGAACAACUCGUGUCGCCGUGUUUGUGCAAGGGCUCGCUGACAUAUGUCCAUGUGCACUGCCUGGAGUGUUGGAUUAGCACCUCGCGCUGCACCACCUGCGAGUUGUGCCAGUUCCAGUACAAUACGGAGCAGACUCUGCGAUUUCGUUGCAGGUACACCUGUCUGCAGUCGCUGCGCCUGUGGUACACGAGGGCCAUGAGUCGCAGGGCGCUGCAGGAGGACUGCCAGAUGUUCUCGCUGCUCACGCUGGUGGCCUUUGGCAUUAUCGGAACUUUGCUGGUGGGCAUCCAGUACUACGCCCUGCACACCCACUCCUGGGGACUGAGUAAGCUGUGGACCAAGUCCUGGAUGCUGUUCUUCCUGUUCAUGACGAUCACCGUUUACUUUGCCAAUAUCUACAUGUUGGUCAAGUCCCAGCUGACGCCCUGGUAUCGCUGGUGGCAGUCUGCGCGGGACAUUAAACUUAUCCUGGAGAAUCGGCGGCCGUUUCCCAACCCAAGUCGCUUCCUGCGGCCAUUUCACAUGGAGACGGCCUCGACGACUCCAUCUAUGUUCACCCACCACGAUCAGCAGGAGGUACCGGUGACCAGCUCUUCGCCGGGCCUCGUGAUCACGUCCAGCGACGAGGAGGCGGAGGAUAAGUUGGCCCCCAAAUGGGGUAGGCGACUGGACAGCGAUGUCCUGGCCGCAGUGGUGGCGGCCACCGUGGAAUCGAUUGCUGACGCAAGUGCCCGCGAGAGUGACAAACAGGACGAGGAGCAGCAGCAGAAUUCGUUGCAACAGCAACAGCAACAACGGCAACCGGAUGGCGGCAACUGAAAGGGCAAUGACGAGCACUGGACUGGGUCUCGAGGGGAUCUGGAUGGAUAGCAUGGUGGAUAGCAAGGUCUGGGCAAGUAAUUAAGACUCAAGGGCAAGGAUUUGGCUGGGCUUACGUUGUUUGCGUGUCAUUUGUUUAAUGUAGUUUCAAUGCCUCAAAUUAACUCUCGCUCGAUGAGAGCUCGAAAUAAAUGGGUGGAACCGUUGGAGGAACUCCUGUUCUUGUUUUCCUGUUCUCCGGUUCGUGCCAGCACUUUGGCUGCUUCCUCCAAGGCGCACAACUUCCGGUUUCCGGCCUUGGGCUCACUUCUCUCCCUCACUUCCACCCACCUCUCCGGCCACCUUAAAGCGGGUAUAUUAAAGCUGAUAACACGGACGCACAAGGAUGAUGGCUGAGCCAGUCACGUGAUUGAUGGCUCAUAAAUUAGUCAUUUUGCUAGAGCGAGCACCCAUGCCUAUUUGGCAGCGUGUGGGCGUUUAUUUUCCAAGGAAAGCAGGAGGAAUUGCAGCACUCGUUAAGGAAGGCAACUCCCACAGAACGUUGCUCGGUUGUCGCCUGUCUUGUUUGGCCAUUUUUCUCCCAGUCUCGAGUGCAGCCUCGAAAUCACCCGGUAAUUUGGUCUAGGCCUCCUACACAUCCACUUGCCCCCCUUGCCAUGGCAUAGCAUUUAAUAACAGGCCGAGUCCUGGUUGCUAAUGCACACUGGUUCGAGGAUCCGGCGUAGUUGCCUGAAUUUUGAGUGAUUGGACUAUCUGUCACCACUCCCGGGCCACUGUAUGUAGUAGGCCAAAAAAGGGCUAAUCCUGGCUAAGAGAUGCGAGCGCUGGCCGCCCACCUAAUGUGCCAGUGAUGUUGACAUAUUAGGCCAGGCACUCCAACCCGCCUCGUUUGCGUAUGGGCCAUAUUUGGCAAGGGGUUAACAACCCACUGCGACCUUCAAUCAUUUAUUUGGCUUUGGACUAUGGACUUUGGACUAGGGCGAAACGAUACGAAACGGAACAAAAGGAACAGGACCCCAAUGGUUUGGCAAUCACGGAGCGGAAUGAUUGAGUGCCUGCAAAUCCCAAACGGAAUUUUCAUUUAUUUUGCACAAUUUCCAUAUGUUAAGCCAUUGACUUUGGUACCCUGCCUUUGGGCUGCUUUUUUAUCAGAUAUGCCAUUGGCUCUCAAAUGCACGUGCACUAAAAACUAAUUAAUUCGUUUGUUGGAUUUUUGAUAAAUAUUUUUUUCGAAUUGCAAA
RNA transcript from Drosophila yakuba, 2728 nucleotides. RefSeq lists it as uncharacterized. Lineage: Eukaryota; Metazoa; Arthropoda; Insecta; Diptera; Drosophilidae. The record is from RefSeq and is a predicted model, not a curated record. The transcript is spliced from 7 exons.